Molecule: ribosomal RNA, 253 nt
Filed under: uncultured bacterium
Lineage: Bacteria
Description: partial 16S ribosomal RNA
Rfam family: Bacterial small subunit ribosomal RNA
Source: RNAcentral
GACGUAGGGCGCGAGCGUUGUCCGGAUUUAUUGGGCGUAAAGAGCUCGUAGGCGGCUUGUCGCGUCGACUGUGAAAACUCGGGGCUCAACUCCGAGCUUGCAGUCGAUACGGGCAGGCUAGAGUUCGGUAGGGGAGACUGGAAUUCCUGGUGUAGCGGUGAAAUGCGCAGAUAUCAGGAGGAACACCGGUGGCGAAGGCGGAUCUCUGGGCCUGUCCUGACGCUCAGGCGCGAAAGCUAGGGGAGCAAACAGG